Molecule: non-coding RNA, 99 nt
Organism: Acanthosepion pharaonis
Lineage: Eukaryota; Metazoa; Mollusca; Cephalopoda; Sepiida; Sepiidae
Source: the annotation of a GenBank genome assembly
UACGGAAACACCGGUUCUCGUACGAUCACCGAAGUUAAACAACGUUGAAGCUGGUCAGUAACUUGAUGAGUGACUGAUUGGGAGUACCAGGUGCUGUAA